UGCCUUGAUGGUGAAAUGGUAGACACGCGACACUCAAAAUGUCGUGCUAAACAGCGUGGAGGUUCGAGUCCUCUUCAAGGCAU
RNAcentral lists this transfer RNA (83 nucleotides) under Sequoia sempervirens (coast redwood). Its description in RNAcentral is "tRNA-Leu". It matches the Rfam family "tRNA". Rfam says of the family: Transfer RNA (tRNA) molecules are approximately 80 nucleotides in length. Their secondary structure includes four short double-helical elements and three loops (D, anti-codon, and T loops). The record is from RNAcentral. Lineage: Eukaryota; Viridiplantae; Streptophyta; Pinopsida; Cupressales; Cupressaceae.